AAAUAAACCACUUCAUUGCUUGAUAUGAAAGUGGAUAUGGUUGAUAGUUUUCACAAUAUAUGGAUGAUUGCUUAUAUAAUGAAGUUCAUUCAUAUCCCAAUAUUAAUGAGAGAAGGGGAAGAUGCUGAUUUUUAUGUUGAAGAUUGUCGAAGAGAGAAAUAAACCACUUCAGUGCUUGAUAUGAAGGUGGAUAUGGUUGAUUGUUUUCACAACAUAUGGAUGAUUGUUUAUUGAUUUCAUGUAUAUCCCAAAGUUAAUGGGAGAAGGGAAAGAUGCUGAUUUUUAUGUUGAAGAUGGCUAAAGAGUGUUGCCUAUAUGAGAGUGAUUUCUCAUAAUGAAGAGUGAAGAUGAAAGUGUCAAUCUCUUACACUUGGGAAGCAACAGACAGUCUCAUAUUUCAAAGCCUUAAAAUGCAUUACUAAAACAUGGAAAGUAAAAAAGGGAAUGUAUGAAUUAAGAGGAUGGUUGAUUGAUAAAGGAAUGGUGGAUUCAAAAUUCUCUAUCAUUGCUAUCAUGGGUGAUUGUUGAAGCUUUAGUUCAAACCCAAACAUGAGAUAAUAACACUCAUGGCUUCUAAAUCUUCCUCAAGUGUAUUUGUUUUCUAAACAUUAAUAGAUGACUUCAUGUCUUUACAGUUACAAUUCUAGUUUACCAUUUUUUUUUUCCA
Molecule: long non-coding RNA, 667 nt
Organism: Vitis riparia (riverbank grape)
Lineage: Eukaryota; Viridiplantae; Streptophyta; Magnoliopsida; Vitales; Vitaceae
Exons: 5
Source: RefSeq, a predicted model, not a curated record